Molecule: ribosomal RNA, 472 nt
Filed under: uncultured bacterium
Lineage: Bacteria
Description: bacterial SSU rRNA
Rfam family: Bacterial small subunit ribosomal RNA
Source: RNAcentral
UCGGGAAUUUUGGGCAAUGGGCGAAAGCCUGAUCCAGCCAUGCCGCGUGUGUGAAGAAGGUCUUCGGAUUGUAAAGCACUUUAAGUUGGGAGGAAGGGCAGUUACCUAAUACGUGAUUGUUUUGACGUUACCGACAGAAUAAGCACCGGCUAACUCUGUGCCAGCAGCCGCGGUAAUACAGAGGGUGCAAGCGUUAAUCGGAAUUACUGGGCGUAAAGCGCGCGUAGGUGGUUAGUUAAGUUGGAUGUGAAAUCCCCGGGCUCAACCUGGGAACUGCAUUCAAAACUGACUGACUAGAGUAUGGUAGAGGGUGGUGGAAUUUCCUGUGUAGCGGUGAAAUGCGUAGAUAUAGGAAGGAACACCAGUGGCGAAGGCGACCACCUGGACUGAUACUGACACUGAGGUGCGAAAGCGUGGGGAGCAAACAGGAUUAGAUACCCACGUAGUCCCUGAGCGGGCUGGCAAGGCGCAU